CACAUUGUUAUGUUAGCCACAUGUUUUUAAUUAUUCUGACUUUUAUGUGCCUAUAAAAUAAGCAAUAAAAUCUUUGGUAGUUUAUGUAACAAUGUGGUUAUUACUAUGGGCAAUGACGCCUGUAACAUGUGAGCCAGUAAACAAAACGAUAGAACGAACAGCAAGCCUUGUCGUACUCCCACCAUUAGUUCUGGGAUAUGACGAUCUUUACGAUGAAGAUAAUUCAAGACCAAGAGAAAAGCACCCAUUCCAUCAAGAACAUCAACAAAAUGAAGAAGAAGAAGAAGCAGAAAACGUUAAUAACGAAAGAGAAGACAUGCGCGGUAGGUUAGAAAUAAGAAAGCCUUUGCACUUUCCAAGGAGCAAUGCUAAGUCCACUACUACUUGUCCUUGCAAAGGCGAGAUAAAAAGAUUGCAUUAGGACUCUGAAUCACGAUACUUAUUUGUGUUGAAAUUGAAUUUUAUUUUUAAGUGCACUUAAGACAAAUUAAAACAUGUAAUAA
This is a long non-coding RNA of Ostrinia nubilalis (European corn borer), 503 nucleotides long. RefSeq lists it as uncharacterized. Lineage: Eukaryota; Metazoa; Arthropoda; Insecta; Lepidoptera; Crambidae. The transcript has 2 exons. The record is from RefSeq and is a predicted model, not a curated record.